Molecule: non-coding RNA, 321 nt
Filed under: Luteipulveratus mongoliensis
Lineage: Bacteria; Bacillati; Actinomycetota; Actinomycetes; Micrococcales; Dermacoccaceae
Description: cspA thermoregulator
Rfam family: cspA thermoregulator
Source: Rfam by way of RNAcentral
ACAUCAGCACAGGUUGGAUGUCUUCAGCAGCUUGGGGCACAGCGUCCCGGCACAUAACCAAAGGAAACAAGAUCAUGGCUCAGGGCACCGUCAAGUGGUUCAACGCUGAAAAGGGCUUCGGCUUCAUCGCUCAGGAUGGCGGCGGCGAGGACGUCUUCGUCCACUACUCCGCGAUCCAGACCAACGGCUACAAGUCGCUGGACGAGAACCAGAAGGUCGAGUUCGACCUCGCCUCUGGCCCCAAGGGUCCGCAGGCUGAGAACGUCCACGUCGCCUGAUUUUCACGAGAAGGGCCCCGACCGCUUGCGGUCGGGGCCCUUU